Non-coding RNA from Cordylochernes scorpioides, 81 nucleotides. NCBI's taxonomy places the organism in Eukaryota, Metazoa, Arthropoda, Arachnida, Pseudoscorpiones, Chernetidae. The record is from the annotation of a GenBank genome assembly.
UGUAGCAUGGCCGAGUGGUCUAAGGUGCAGGUUUUAGGCAACAGUCUCAAAGAGACGUAGGUUCGAAUCCCACCGCUGCCA